AUAUUGGUCAAUGGACGCAAGUCUGAACCAGCCAUGCCGCGUGAAGGAUUAAGGCCCUCUGGGUUGUAAACUUCUUUUAUAGGGGAAGAACUGUGAUGAUUCUUCGUCACUUGACGGUACCCUAGGAAUAAGCACCGGCUAACUCCGUGCCAGCAGCCGCGGUAAUACGGAGGGUGCAAGCGUUAUCCGGAUUCACUGGGUUUAAAGGGUGCGUAGGUGGACAGAACAGUCAGUGGUGAAAUCUCCGGGCUUAACCCGGAAAUUGCCGUUGAUACUAUUUGUCUUGAAUAUUGCGGAGGUAAGCGGAAUAUGUCAUGUAGCGGUGAAAUGCUUAGAUAUGACAUAGAACACCAAUUGCGAAGGCAGCUUACUACACAAUUAUUGACACUGAGGCACGAAAGCGUGGGUAGCGAACAGG
Molecule: ribosomal RNA, 418 nt
Filed under: uncultured bacterium
Lineage: Bacteria
Description: bacterial SSU rRNA
Rfam family: Bacterial small subunit ribosomal RNA
Source: RNAcentral